CGCUUGAAAAGCUCUUUUGUCGAGUGUGCGAUCAUGACAGGACUCGAGGAAGAAGCCCCGGCUAACUGCAUGCCAGCAGCCGCGGUAAGACGGGGGGGCAAGUGUUCUCCAGAAUGACUGGGUCUAAAGGGCACGUAGGCGGUGAAUCGGGUUGAAAGUGAUAGUUGCCAAAAAGUGGUGGAAUGCUCUCGAAACCAAUUCACUUGAGUGAGACAGAGGAGAGUGGAAUUUCGUGUGUAGGGGUGAAAUCCAUAGAUCUACAAAGGAACGCCAAAAGGGAAAGCAGCUCUCUGGGUCCCUACCGAUGCUAGGGUGCGAAAUCAUGGGGAGCGAAUAGGAUUAGAUACCCUAGUAGUCCAUGCCGUAAAUGAUGUGUGUUCGCCCUUGGUCUAUUAGGAUCAGGGGCCCAGCUAUCGCGUGAAACACUCCG
Molecule: ribosomal RNA, 430 nt
Filed under: Triticum aestivum (bread wheat)
Lineage: Eukaryota; Viridiplantae; Streptophyta; Magnoliopsida; Poales; Poaceae
Description: rRNA SSU_rRNA_eukarya
Rfam family: Bacterial small subunit ribosomal RNA
Source: RNAcentral